RNAcentral lists this transfer RNA (67 nucleotides) under Margarya oxytropoides. RNAcentral's name for it is "tRNA-Asp". It matches the Rfam family "tRNA". Rfam says of the family: Transfer RNA (tRNA) molecules are approximately 80 nucleotides in length. Their secondary structure includes four short double-helical elements and three loops (D, anti-codon, and T loops). Further hydrogen bonds mediate the characteristic L-shaped molecular structure. tRNAs have two regions of fundamental functional importance: the anti-codon, which is responsible for specific mRNA codon recognition, and the 3' end, to which the tRNAs corresponding amino acid is attached (by aminoacyl-tRNA synthetases). tRNAs cope with the degeneracy of the genetic code in two manners: having more than one tRNA (with a specific anti-codon) for a particular amino acid; and 'wobble' base-pairing, i.e. permitting non-standard base-pairing at the 3rd anti-codon position. RNAcentral also lists the same sequence under 1 other name. The record is from RNAcentral. Lineage: Eukaryota; Metazoa; Mollusca; Gastropoda; Architaenioglossa; Viviparidae.
AUAAAGUUAGUUAAAUAAUAUAAUAUAAGGUUGUCAACCUUAAAUUGCUAAUGAUUAGUACUUUUUA